AACGCAAAUUGCACUCUCUGGCAUUCCGGAGAGUAUGCCUAUUUGAGGGUCAACAGAAUAAAAAUCGAUGCGUCGCUUUUUUUUAAGCGACGCGUCGGAAUUGGGUCCUCUUAAUCAUUCAUUUUUUUAAGUGACCUAAAAUUUACGCGUUUCGGUAUGAUUGCGUACUUAAAUCUUUUCGUCGUUUGAAUACCGAACCUUAUUAGAUCGUGACCAUCCGAUGGUAUCGCGUCUAUAAUUUUUUUGAAAUUUGACCUCAAAUUAGGUAAGAGUACCCGCUGAAACUUAAGC
This 291-nucleotide unclassified non-coding RNA is filed under the name uncultured Glomeraceae. RNAcentral describes it as "sequence contains 5.8S rRNA gene, ITS2, 28S rRNA gene". Lineage: Eukaryota; Fungi; Glomeromycota; Glomeromycetes; Glomerales; Glomeraceae. The record is from RNAcentral.